Molecule: transfer RNA, 99 nt
Filed under: Mycolicibacterium mageritense
Lineage: Bacteria; Bacillati; Actinomycetota; Actinomycetes; Mycobacteriales; Mycobacteriaceae
Description: tRNA-Cys
Source: RNAcentral
GAUCGCCUGGUCGGUGGGGAAUGCCACUACUUCGGCUGCAACCCGAGCAAGACACUGCUUCGCCCGAUCGAGGUGUUCAAUCUCGCCAAGGCGGUUCCC